AUACGUAGGGGGCGAGCGUUGUCCGGAAUGACUGGGCGUAAAGGGCGUGUAGGCGGCCGAUUAAGUCUGGAGUGAAAGUCCUGCUUUCAAGGUGGGAAUUGCUUUGGAGACUGGUUGGCUUGAGUGCGGAAGAGGUAAGUGGAAUUCCCAGUGUAGCGGUGAAAUGCGUAGAGAUUGGGAGGAACACCAGUGGCGAAGGCGACUUACUGGGCCGUAACUGACGCUGAGGCGCGAAAGCGUGGGGAGCGAACAGGAUUAGAUACCCUGGUAGCCCACGCGGUAAACGAUGAAUGCUAGGUGUAGGGGGUAUCGACCCCUCCUGUGCCGGAGUGAACACAAUAAGCAUUCCGCCUGGGGAGUACGGCCGCAAGGUUGAAACUCAAAGGAAUUGACGGGG
RNAcentral lists this ribosomal RNA (397 nucleotides) under uncultured bacterium. RNAcentral's name for it is "partial 16S ribosomal RNA". It matches the Rfam family "Bacterial small subunit ribosomal RNA", at positions 523 to 918 of the family's 1533-position model. The record is from RNAcentral.